AUGGGUAAAUCAUUUUAUAACCGAAGCACUAGGCUGUGGUGGGGGCACUACCAUUUACGAAUUGGCAGUAGAUUACAAGUAAGACUAAACAAAGGGAUUAAAUUUUCACAUUUUCAACAUAUAGGGAGAUUUAUAGAAUUUGCUCGAGCCUCAAAAUCGUUAAGAGCAGCGACACUAAGUAAGUGCUUGCGCAGGAAUUUUUGGAACACCAACUUUUUUUUUAAUGGUCAGCCUAAAACAGGAAACAAAAUUAAAAACAACUCGAAGACAUCUCAAGAUGAAGGUUAUAUAAAAUUAUAUAUUUGUUUUUUGAAUAGACGUCACUUAAUGUUUGUAAUAAUAACGAUGUGUAU
Molecule: long non-coding RNA, 353 nt
Filed under: Piliocolobus tephrosceles (Ugandan red Colobus)
Lineage: Eukaryota; Metazoa; Chordata; Mammalia; Primates; Cercopithecidae
Description: lncRNA (ENSPTEG00000013589.1)
Source: RNAcentral